RNAcentral lists this small RNA (1042 nucleotides) under Pongo abelii (Sumatran orangutan). RNAcentral's name for it is "processed transcript". Lineage: Eukaryota; Metazoa; Chordata; Mammalia; Primates; Hominidae. The record is from RNAcentral.
GGCGGGAGUGCGAGCUGGGUCCGGGUCUCGGCCGCCGCCAUGGCCGCGGUGGACCUGGAGAAGCUGCGGGCGUCGGGCGCGGGCAAGGCCAUCGGCGUCCUGACCAGCGGCGGCGACGCGCAAGGCCCCCUGCUCAGAUGGCUGUGACCCUGGGCUGACCCGCCCAGUGGCACACUGACUCCGCCUGGAGCUGGGGAGACCAGAGAGGCCCCGUGGUUGGACGGUGGCCUGGGUGUGCUGUUCCUGCCCUCUCCUUGCCUUGCCUCAGCUGCUGCCUGCCAGAGGCAUGAACGCUGCUGUCCGGGCUGUGACGCGCAUGGGCAUUUAUGUGGGUGCCAAAGUCUUCCUCAUCCACGAGGGCUAUGAGGGCCUCGUGGAGGGAGGUGAGAACAUCAAGCAGGCCAACUGGCUGAGUGUCUCCAACAUCAUCCAACUGGGCGGCACUGUCAUUGGCAGCGCUCGCUGCAAGGCCUUUACCACCAGGGAGGGGCGCCGGGCAGCGGCCUACAACCUGGUCCAGCACGGCAUCACCAACCUGUGCGUCAUCGGCGGGGAUGGCAGCCUCACGGGUGCCAACAUCUUCCGCAGCGAGUGGGGCAGCCUGCUGGAGGAGCUGGUGGCGGAAGGUAAGAUCUCAGAGACGAUGGCCCGGACCUACUCGCACCUGAACAUCGCGGGCCUAGUGGGCUCCAUCGAUAACGACUUCUGCGGCACCGACAUGACCAUUGGCACGGACUCGGCCCUCCACCGCAUCAUGGAGGUCAUUGAUGCCAUCACCACCACUGCCCAGAGCCACCAGAGGACCUUCGUGCUGGAAGUGAUGGGCCGGCACUGCGGGUACCUGGCGCUGGUAUCUGCACUGGCCUCGGGGGCCGACUGGCUGUUCAUCCCCGAGGCUCCGCCUGAGGACGGCUGGGAGAACUUCAUGUGCGAGAGGCUGGGUGAGACUCGGAGCCGCGGGUCCCGACUGAACAUCAUCAUUAUCGCUGAGGGUGCCAUCGACCGCAACGGGAAGCCCAUCUCGUCCAGCUACGUGAAGGAU